This is a long non-coding RNA of Crotalus tigris (Tiger rattlesnake), 308 nucleotides long. RefSeq lists it as uncharacterized. Lineage: Eukaryota; Metazoa; Chordata; Lepidosauria; Squamata; Viperidae. The transcript has 3 exons. The record is from RefSeq and is a predicted model, not a curated record.
AGGAAAUCCUUCCAGUCCAUGAGUUCUAUUUCCAAUGAAGAUGACCUUUUGAUCCAGCAAUUAGACAGCAUCCUCCAUGAUCCAUGAAUCAAAGUAAGCUCUAAUCCCUUGCACCCAAGUGGCUACUCCAUGCAGUGGAUGGGAAUCCUCCCCACCCUGAGCUUCAUCAAUGGUUGCUUCAGUUGUCUAAUCUCUGCUAGUAACCACAGUUUUCAAAGAUAUUUCUGAAGUAUAAUUGUUAGAACAUCUGCACAUUCCAUCCACCAGGAAAUCUUUUUUAAUUACCAUUCUCCUCCAAAGUUACUGAC